Molecule: ribosomal RNA, 305 nt
Filed under: uncultured bacterium
Lineage: Bacteria
Description: bacterial SSU rRNA
Rfam family: Bacterial small subunit ribosomal RNA
Source: RNAcentral
UUUCCUACGGGGGCAGCAGUGGGGAAUAUUGCACAAUGGGGGAAACCCUGAUGCAGCGACGCCGCGUGGGCGAGGAAGUACCUCGGUAUGUAAAGCCCUAUCAGCAGGGAAGAAACAGGACAGUACCUGACUAAGAAGCCCCGGCUAACUACGUGCCAGCAGCCGCGGUAAUACGUAGGGAGCAAGCGUUAUCCGGAUUUACUGGGUGUAAAGGGCGUGUAGGCGGGCAUGCAAGCCAGAAGUGAAAUCUGGGGGCUUAACCCCCAAACUGCUUUUGGAACUGCGUGUCUUGAGUGAUGGAGAGG